RNAcentral lists this ribosomal RNA (521 nucleotides) under uncultured bacterium. RNAcentral's name for it is "bacterial SSU rRNA". It matches the Rfam family "Archaeal small subunit ribosomal RNA", at positions 345 to 866 of the family's 1478-position model. The record is from RNAcentral.
AACCUCCGCAAUGUACGAAAGUGCGACGGGGGGAUCCCAAGUGUUAUGCUUUUUUGUAUGACUUUUCAUUAGUGUAAAAAGCUUUUAGAAUAAGAGCUGGGCAAGACCGGUGCCAGCCGCCGCGGUAACACCGGCAGCUCGAGUGGUAGCUGUUUUUAUUGGGCCUAAAGCGUUCGUAGCCGGUUUAAUAAGUCUUUGGUGAAAGCUUGUAGCUUAACUAUAAGAAUUGCUGGAGAUACUAUUAGACUUGAAGUCGGGAGAGGUUAGAGGUACUACCGGGGUAGGGGUGAAAUCCUAUAAUCCUGGGAGGACCACCUGUGGCGAAGGCGUCUAACUGGAACGAUCUUGACGGUGAGUAACGAAAGCCAGGGGCGCGAACCGGAUUAGAUACCCGGGUAGUCCUGGCCGUAAACGAUGUGGACUUGGUGUUGGAAUGGCUUUGAGUUGUUCCGGUGCCGAAGGGAAGCUGUUAAGUCCACCGCCUGGGAAGUACGGUCGCAAGAUUGAAACUUAAAGGAAUU